RNAcentral lists this ribosomal RNA (429 nucleotides) under Bacteroidota bacterium. RNAcentral's name for it is "Bacteroidetes bacterium partial 16S ribosomal RNA". It matches the Rfam family "Bacterial small subunit ribosomal RNA", at positions 355 to 776 of the family's 1533-position model. The record is from RNAcentral. Lineage: Bacteria; Pseudomonadati; Bacteroidota.
UAGGGAAUCUUCCGCAGUGGACGCAAGUCUGACGGAGCAACGCCGCGUGAGUGAAGAAGGAUUUCGGUUCGUAAAACUCUGUUGUUAGAGAAGAACAGCGCAUAGAGUAACUGUUAUGCGUGUGACGGUACCUAAUCAGAAAGCCACGGCUAACUACGUGCCAGCAGCCGCGGUAAUACGUAGGUGGCAAGCGUUAUCCGGAAUUAUUGGGCGUAAAGCGCGCGUAGGCGGUUUUUUAAGUCUGAUGUGAAAGCCCACGGCUCAACCGUGGAGGGUCAUUGGAAACUGGAAAACUUGAGUGCAGAAGAGGAGAGUGGAAUUCCAUGUGUAGCGGUGAAAUGCGUAGAUAUAUGGAGGAACACCAGUGGCGAAGGCGACUCUCUGGUCUGUAACUGACGCUGAGGCUCGAAAGCGUGGGUAGCAAACAGG